GACGAACGCUGGCGGCGUGCUUAACACAUGCAAGUCGAACGGAAAGGCCCUGCUUUUGUGGGGUGCUCGAGUGGCGAACGGGUGAGUAACACGUGAGUAACCUGCCCUUGACUUUGGGAUAACUUCAGGAAACUGGGGCUAAUACCGGAUAGGAGCUCCUGCUGCAUGGUGGGGGUUGGAAAGUUUCGGCGGUUAGGGAUGGACUCGCGGCUUAUCAGCUUGUUGGUGGGGUAGUGGCUUACCAAGGCUUUGACGGGUAGCCGGCCUGAGAGGGUGACCGGCCACAUUGGGACUGAGAUACGGCCCAGACUCCUACGGGAGGCAGCAGUGGGGAAUAUUGCACAAUGGGCGGAAGCCUGAUGCAGCAACGCCGCGUGCGGGAUGGCGGCCUUCGGGUUGUAAACCGCUUUCGCCUGUGACGAAGCGUGAGUGACGGUAAUGGGUAAAGAAGCACCGGCUAACUACGUG
RNAcentral lists this ribosomal RNA (468 nucleotides) under uncultured bacterium. Its description in RNAcentral is "partial 16S ribosomal RNA". It matches the Rfam family "Bacterial small subunit ribosomal RNA", at positions 28 to 507 of the family's 1533-position model. The record is from RNAcentral.